Molecule: non-coding RNA, 761 nt
Organism: Nelumbo nucifera (sacred lotus)
Lineage: Eukaryota; Viridiplantae; Streptophyta; Magnoliopsida; Proteales; Nelumbonaceae
Source: RefSeq, a predicted model, not a curated record
GGUACCCACUAGGGUCAGAAUGGGUUGGGUCGAGGGUUUCAGACUUGUUCAAAAGUUUGAAACUCUAUUCAGGUCGAGGGCUCGAGGGUUUCUGAGUAAGGGUCAAGGGUUUCAUCUGCCAUUCUAUGCUCUCUUCCAUUCUUUCAUCAUUCUCACAGUCGAAGGUUUCUCCCCCAUUAUCUGAGUAAGGUUCGAGGGUUUCCUCCUGCCAUUCUCUGGUCUCUGCCAUUCUUUCACAAUUCUCACGGUCGAAAGUUUCUUUUCCAUUCUCUGAAUAAGGGUUGAGGGAGCAGCUCCUCUUCUCUCACUGCCCAUGCAAGGUGCAACCUCAAAGGCCUGAAACAGGAGAUUUACAUGGUGUUGUGGAGCGCUGGAUGAGCAACAUUGGCAAAUGGGAUAUCACGUCACAAAAGCUAGAGCUCUUGCUUCUACAGUGAAUAGUUCGAGGUGAAAUCAACUACUCCUGUGUUUUAGCCCAAGGCUACGCCAAUGGGCAUAGUGGAUUUUUCUUGCAAUAGUUCUUUCACUUUGAUCAGGUGUAUUAGUUUAGCAAGAUUUGGUAUGGACAGAACAUUGUUAUAGCAUCUAAUCCAUGGUUUCUGAUGUAUUUUUAAAGGAUUUAAUUUUUUGGGUAGUAGUUUUCUACGAUGGUUGGGGGUUAAUAAGGGGCCAUGUUUGUAUUUUGACAUCAUUUCACUUAUGAUCAAGAAAGUUAUUUUUUUACUGAUUUAAAAAAAAAAGUCAUUGUCUUUGUUGUCCUA